Molecule: ribosomal RNA, 457 nt
Filed under: uncultured bacterium
Lineage: Bacteria
Description: bacterial SSU rRNA
Rfam family: Bacterial small subunit ribosomal RNA
Source: RNAcentral
CGGACGACGCCGGCGGCGUGCCUAAGACAUGCAAGUCGAGCGGGGAGACUUCGGUCUCCCGCGGCGGACGGGUGAGUAACGCGUGGGCAACCUGCCCUUCAGCCCGGGAUAACUGCCUGAAAGGGCGGCUAAUACCGGAUGCGGUGAAACGGACGCAUGUUGGUUUCACGAAAAUUACGGUGCUGAAGGAUGGGCCCGCGUCCCAUUAGCUGGUUGGUGAGGUAGCGGCCCACCAAGGCGACGAUGGGUAGCCGGCCUGAGAGGGUGGACGGCCACACUGGAACUGAGAAACGGUCCAGACUCCUACGGGAGGCAGCAGUGGGGAAUAUUGGGCAAUGGGCGAAAGCCUGACCCAGCAACGCCGCGUGAAGGAAGAAGGUUUUCGGAUUGUAAACUUCUGUCCUCAGGGAAGAAGGAAGUGACGGUACCUGAGGAGGAAGCCCCGGCUAACUACGUG